GCUGGUAGAUCCUUGGAUUUAAGGCACAGAGUAUUAACGUGUAACAGUAACCCUGUUUCACAUGACUUUCAUAUGAUCCAUCAGAAUAGUGAAGAUUGGCUCCUUGGUAUGUUUGACUGAGUUCUUUCCUUUUAGGUCAUCAGAACAAGUCGUAGAACCAAGGUGGGUCACCGAGAUAUUUGGUAGUUGUCUUGGGAUUUUGAAGCCUGUGCUUUCACUUCAAGGGCACUAAUGGUAGCAACACUGAAAAAAUCCACAUACUCUGGAUAGGAGUUUCUGGUUGUCCUCAUCCAACACAAGGAAGAUUCCACUUUCCUGCUGACUUCCAGGGUUAGUCUUGUCAUGGCCUCACAUUGCCACAUUUACUUGUCAAAAUCUGUUUGGGUUGCACUUAGGCCAUGGAUCCCUGUUCAUAGCUGCAGGCUAAUGGGGAGUCCAAGGCAGCAGGUAUCCUGAUACUAAGCCAACUAGGACUCUCAGCAGCAGACUCUGGGCUGUCUGUGAGGGUAGAGGUGAUCAUUCCCCUCCUCAGUACACUGUGGAUCAUCCCAGGAGACCACUGUCCUAUUACAUGUCCUUAGUGUCCUGUCAUUUGUUUGGAUCUGAUAGACCUUCAGAUUUUACAUAGGAAAGAAAAGAGGUGAUUGGCUUUUUGGACUUGUUUAUCACAUAUAAUACAGUCAUCUUAAGAUGCAUUGAUUUCUGGAAAAUUUCAAAUACUGACCCUGAAUAUGUGCUGUUUGCCCCACAUCCACUUCAUAUAUUAAUUUUAUCUUUGUUUGUAUUUGAAACUGUCAUCUGUGCUUUGCAAUUGGCACAAUAACUUGUUUCUCUAUAUGUGUAGGUAAAUUUACAAAUCUGACUUCAAAAUCACCAGACACACACUCUUCCCAGCUUCUAUGUCGACUGACUGAGUUGAGAUGGAGAGCAUGAGAACCUGGGAUACAGAGGCAGCAAGAGACAACUUGCAGAGGGAGGGUUUAGAGAGGAUGGGAGAGACAGAAUGGAGUCUUCAUGGGGAGAGGGAUGUGCAGAGGGUAAGAAGCAUGGACACUGAGUGCUGCGUAUUUCCGUUUCCCUUUCCAUCCUAUCCACAUGUCCUUGUUUUUAAAGUGAUGAACUCCAUACAUCAGGAGACACAGGCUGGAGAUUUCCAGCUGUGGACUGAAAGAGCAGAAGUAGGAGCUAUGCAGGAAUUACAGAUGGCAGUGUGCCCAGAACCCAGCAUGAAGUGUCUGUGUCCAGCAAAGGAAGAGAUUUGCAGUACAGGGGCCUCUGAGCCUAUACCAUGUCCACGCUGGCCAUAGAUGUACAGACUCUGUGAACCAGUCUUCAGAGAAACACCUCAGCAAUACUCACUAAUCUGUGCAUCCCUUCAGGUUCUGCUCUUGGGGAAAUAUUUUCACCCAUGAAGUCAAGUGACAGCAAGCUGGAGGAAAACGGGUAUCACUGUGGAUGGAAUGCUGCGAGUUUGCUUCUCUUUGGAGGUAGGAAGCAGAAGGCUGGCUAGGGAGGUUUCCUCAAUCCCAAAGGAAUGUGUUCAUUGAGCUCAUGUUACAGAAGAGCAGAAAGAGAAAGUCAGCAUCACCCUACAUGUGGCUUCAGAGGGAUGUUGAGAGAACUUGGUGCAGUAGACUGAUAUGGAAGGAAAUGAUGAGAUACCAGAGAGAAAGUGCAAGCCAUGGCCAUAGCUCACCUCCUCAGCGACUCUGGAGAAAAGAGCAUCUCCAGGUUCUGUUGGUCAUAUUGUGUGACAAAGCUCCUUUCACCUUAUGUGCAUCCUGUGUCAUCUAGGUGAGUGUAGAACAGGAUGGGGUACAGGAAGCACAGGACCCAGGUACACACAUGGUGGUGGAAAACUGCUUCUCCUCCUUGAUACUACAGCCUUGUUAUGGGACAGUAGCAGGGAAUCCAGGACAAGCUGGAAUGGGAACAUUCUAGGAGACAACAUCGAAUUCUACCUCAGAGCAUCACUUGGGAUGGAAAUGGAGUUUGACUAGUCCUCA
Mesocricetus auratus (golden hamster) is the source of this 2006-nucleotide long non-coding RNA. RefSeq lists it as uncharacterized. The record is from RefSeq and is a predicted model, not a curated record. The transcript is spliced from 6 exons. NCBI's taxonomy places the organism in Eukaryota, Metazoa, Chordata, Mammalia, Rodentia, Cricetidae.